This 73-nucleotide transfer RNA is filed under the name Ictidomys tridecemlineatus (thirteen-lined ground squirrel). Its description in RNAcentral is "Spermophilus tridecemlineatus (thirteen-lined ground squirrel) tRNA". It matches the Rfam family "tRNA". From Rfam's summary of the family: Transfer RNA (tRNA) molecules are approximately 80 nucleotides in length. Their secondary structure includes four short double-helical elements and three loops (D, anti-codon, and T loops). Further hydrogen bonds mediate the characteristic L-shaped molecular structure. tRNAs have two regions of fundamental functional importance: the anti-codon, which is responsible for specific mRNA codon recognition, and the 3' end, to which the tRNAs corresponding amino acid is attached (by aminoacyl-tRNA synthetases). tRNAs cope with the degeneracy of the genetic code in two manners: having more than one tRNA (with a specific anti-codon) for a particular amino acid; and 'wobble' base-pairing, i.e. permitting non-standard base-pairing at the 3rd anti-codon position. The record is from Rfam by way of RNAcentral. Lineage: Eukaryota; Metazoa; Chordata; Mammalia; Rodentia; Sciuridae.
GGGGACAUGGCUUAGUGGUAGAGCACCUUGCUGGGCAUGCCUGAGGCCCUGGGUUUGACCCCUAGUAUCCCCC